RNAcentral lists this ribosomal RNA (280 nucleotides) under uncultured bacterium. RNAcentral describes it as "partial 16S ribosomal RNA". It matches the Rfam family "Bacterial small subunit ribosomal RNA", at positions 506 to 784 of the family's 1533-position model. The record is from RNAcentral.
UGCCAGCAGCCGCGGUAAUACGUAGGGAGCAAGCGUUGUCCGGAAUUAUUGGGCGUAAAGAGCUCGUAGGCUGUUCAGUAAGUCGGGUGUGAAAACUCAAGGCUCAACCUUGAGACGCCACUCGAUACUGCUGUGACUUGAGUCCGGUAGAGGAGUGUGGAAUUCCUGGUGUAGCGGUGAAAUGCGCAGAUAUCAGGAGGAACACCAGUGGCGAAGGCGGCUCACUGGCUCGAUACUGACGCUGAGGUACGAAAGUGUGGGGAGCAAACAGGAUUAGAUA